AAAAAUGAUUUCACAAAAACAGAG
This 24-nucleotide small nuclear RNA is filed under the name Arabidopsis thaliana (thale cress). RNAcentral's name for it is "snRNA_11573". The record is from RNAcentral. Lineage: Eukaryota; Viridiplantae; Streptophyta; Magnoliopsida; Brassicales; Brassicaceae.